AUUGAACGCUGGCGGCAUGCCUUACACAUGCAAGUCGAACGGCAUCGCGGGAAAGCUUGCUUUCCUGGCGGCGAGUGGCGAACGGGUGAGUAACACAUCGGAACGUACCGGCUAGUGGGGGAUAACCCGUCGAAAGACGGGCUAAUACCGCAUACGCUCUUCGGAGGAAAGCAGGGGACCUUUGGGCCUUGCGCUAGUCGAGCGGCCGAUGUCCGAUUAGCUAGUUGGUGGGGUAAAGGCCUACCAAGGCGACGAUCGGUAGCGGGUCUGAGAGGACGAUCCGCCACACUGGGACUGAGACACGGCCCAGACUCCUACGGGAGGCAGCAGUGGGGAAUCUUGGACAAUGGGGGCAACCCUGAUCCAGCAAUGCCGCGUGGGUGAAGAAGGCCUUCGGGUUGUAAAGCCCUUUCGGCAGGGAAGAAAUCGGCGGGGCGAAUAACCCUGCUGGAUGACGGUACCUGCAGAAGAAGCACCGGCUAACUACGU
Molecule: ribosomal RNA, 489 nt
Filed under: uncultured bacterium
Lineage: Bacteria
Description: partial 16S ribosomal RNA
Rfam family: Bacterial small subunit ribosomal RNA
Source: RNAcentral